UACGUAGGGUGCAAGCGUUAAUCGGAAUUACUGGGCGUAAAGCGUGCGCAGGCGGUUAUGUAAGACAGGUGUGAAAUCCCCGGGCUUAACCUGGGAACUGCAUUGUGACUGCAUAGCUAGAGUACGGUAGAGGGGGAUGGAAUUCCGCGUGUAGCAGUGAAAUGCGUAGAUAUGCGGAGGAACACCAAUGGCGAAGGCAGCCCCCUGGGUUAACACUGACGCUCAUGCACGAAAGCGUGGGGAGCAAACAGG
RNAcentral lists this ribosomal RNA (252 nucleotides) under uncultured bacterium. Its description in RNAcentral is "partial 16S ribosomal RNA". It matches the Rfam family "Bacterial small subunit ribosomal RNA", at positions 524 to 776 of the family's 1533-position model. The record is from RNAcentral.